This is a regulatory RNA element of 48 nucleotides. It matches the Rfam family "Guanidine-II riboswitch aptamer (mini-ykkC)". Rfam says of the family: Simpler in structure and has fewer highly conserved nucleotide positions than the ykkC-yxkD leader. Despite this each of its two stem-loop structures directly bind free guanidine. The record is from Rfam.
UGCCGUGGACGACCUCGGCAUGCAUGACCACGUGGCGGGACGACCCGC